GAUGAAGAACGCAGCGAAAUGCGAUACGUAAUGUGAAUUGCAGAAUUCAGUGAAUCAUCGGGUCUUUGAACGCACAUUGCGCCCCCUGGUAUUCCGGGGGGCAUGCCUGUCCGAGCGUCAUUGCUGCCCUCAAGCACGGCUUGUGUGUUGGGCCUCCGUCCUCCUCCCGGGGGACGGGCCCGAAAGGCAGCGGCGGCACCGCGUCCGGUCCUCGAGCGUAUGGGGCUUCGUCACCCGCUCUUGUAGGCCCGGCCGGCGCUUGCCGACACAUCAAUCUUUUUUCCGUUGACCUCGGAUCAGGUAGGGAUACCCGCUGAACUUAAGCAUAUCAAUAAGCGGAGGA
RNAcentral lists this unclassified non-coding RNA (343 nucleotides) under soil metagenome. Its description in RNAcentral is "partial contains 5.8S ribosomal RNA, internal transcribed spacer 2, and large subunit ribosomal RNA". The stretch from base 1 to 120 matches the Rfam family "5.8S ribosomal RNA", at positions 35 to 154 of the family's 154-position model. The record is from RNAcentral.